ACGAACGCUGGCGGCGUGCCUAAUACAUGCAAGUCGAGCGGACCGACGGGAGCUUGCUCCCUUAGGUCAGCGGCGGACGGGUGAGUAACACGUGGGUAACCUGCCUGUAAGACUGGGAUAACUCCGGGAAACCGGGGCUAAUACCGGAUGCUUGUUUGAACCGCAUGGUUCAAACAUAAAAGGUGGCUUUUCGCUACCACUUACAGAUGGACCCGCGGCGCAUUAGCUAGUUGGUGGGGUAACGGCUCACCAAGGCGACGAUGCGUAGCCGACCUGAGAGGGUGAUCGGCCACACUGGGACUGAGACACGGCCCAGACUCCUACGGGAGGCAGCAGUAGGGAAUCUUCCGCAAUGGACGAAAGUCUGACGGAGCAACGCCGCGUGAGUGAUGAAGGUUUUCGGAUCGUAAAACUCUGUUGUUAGGGAAGAACAAGUACCGUUCGAACAGGGCGGUACCUUGACGGUACCUAACCAGAAAGCCACGGCUAACUACGUGCCAGCAGCCGCGGUAAUACGUAGGUGGCCAGCGUUGUCCGGAAUUAUUGGGCGUAAAGCGCGCGCAGGCGGUUUUUUAAGUCUGAUGUGAAAGCCCCCGGCUCAACCGGGGAGGGUCAUUGGAAACUGGGGAACUUGAGUGCAGAAGAGGAGAGUGGAAUUCCACGUGUAGCGGUGAAAUGCGUAGAGAUGUGGAGGAACACCAGUGGCGAAGGCGACUCUCUGGUCUGUAACUGACGCUGAGGCGCGAAAGCGUGGGGAGCGAACAGGAUUAGAUACCCUGGUAGUCCACGCCGUAAACGAUGAGUGCUAAGUGUUAGAGGG
This 820-nucleotide ribosomal RNA is filed under the name Bacillus sp. (in: firmicutes). RNAcentral describes it as "bacterial SSU rRNA". It matches the Rfam family "Bacterial small subunit ribosomal RNA", at positions 29 to 830 of the family's 1533-position model. Lineage: Bacteria; Bacillati; Bacillota; Bacilli; Caryophanales; Bacillaceae. The record is from RNAcentral.